Schistocerca piceifrons (Central American locust) is the source of this 1688-nucleotide long non-coding RNA. RefSeq lists it as uncharacterized. The record is from RefSeq and is a predicted model, not a curated record. Lineage: Eukaryota; Metazoa; Arthropoda; Insecta; Orthoptera; Acrididae. The transcript is spliced from 3 exons.
ACUACUUCGCUAACUAACUAGAAAAAUGAUUGAUAUCCACUUUUAAUUUUACGCAUGCUUUCUCAUCGCUUGGGACGCUAGCGUCGCACCAACUGUCCAAUGGUAACAAUUUUCACAGCAGUGAGCGUCGCGACUGUAUAUGCUAGACUGUGGUACGAUCAUGUCAGGAUGUAUUCACACUGUCCGUCACUUUACGUCCUGUAAAUUCGCUUACAUCUAUCGACAGCUAUACCUCCGCGAAUCACUUGGAAGUGCGUAGCAGUCAGUACAUCCCAUUGUACCAGUUAAUUGGACUUUUUCCUGUUCCAUUCACGCGUGGAUGGAAUGAUUGUUUAAAUGCCUCUGUGCACGCUGUAGUAAAUAUAUCUUGUCCUCACAGUCGCUAUGGGAAAGGACAGUGGGUGAUAAAGUGAUUGCGGCGGUUCCUUACUUGGUCAUUGCACAUGCCGCUAACAAUGGAAAUCAAAAUCAACGGAAAAGGAAACGAUAGUGGAAGAGAAGAAUGUUCGAAGAAGGUCCACGAACGAGUAUACUAGGAGAUCUAGCAGCAGAUGAUGGUAAAUUAUUUAGUAAUUUUACAAGAAUGUCCAGUGAAGACUUCAGUUAUUUACUUCAGUUGACUACACCUCUUAUUCUAAAAAAAAAAAAAAAAAAUUACCAAUUGCCAAGACAGUAUUUCACCAAGAAUUCGACUGGCCAUCGCACUGCGUUUCUUAUCCACUGGGGAUUCGUACAAGUCACUGAUAUAUUUAUUCAAAGUAUCAUAUUCUGCUAUUUCCCUCACAGUGCCAGAAGAUUGUGAACUACUUCAUUAGUGUUGAAGAAUUACAUAAAGAUUCCAAAGGACACUGAAGAAUGGAAGAAUGUUGCCAGAAAUUUCGAAGUUAAGUGGAACUUCCCUCACUGUGUAGGAGCCAUAGAUGGCAAACAUGUGCAAAUUAUAUGUCUUGCCAAUACUGGAAGUUAAUAUAUAUACUACAAAAAAACAUUUAGCAUCGUCCUUAUGGUCACUGCAGACGUAAAUUACUGCUUUCAAUAUGUACAUGUUGGUUGUCAGGGACGCAUAUCAGAUGGAGGAGUUUUUAAGAACACUUCGUUUCAUAAAGCAUUAAUGAAAAAUAAAUUAAACAUUCCUCCCCCAGAAACUCUUCCAGGGAAAGAAAAUUUGGCACCAUAUGUUUUAGUAGCGGACGAGGCAUUUCCAUUGACCACAAAUAUAAUGAAACCGUAUGCUGGUCAGUUGCCAAAGUCAGAGGAGAGAAUAUUUCAUUACCGACUGUCUCGCGCACGACGAAUUGUCGAAAACGCUUUCGGAAUAAUGUCCUCUGUUUUUCGAGUGUUUAGGAAGCCAUUGUUAAAGUUGAGAACGCUGAAAUAGUUACAAAAGCUUGCACGCAUCUCCAUAAUUUUUUAAGCAAAGUGCAACGUUCAGAACCAUUUAUUCCCCUCCAAAUAGUUUGGGUACAGAAGACGUAAAAAUGGUGUAAUUAUUCUUGGAGAGUGGAGGCAAGCUACUCGCAACUAUACAGGCUUAAAGAAUUAAUUAAAAAACCUUGAAGACCUUUCUGUGAUGCACAGGCAGUACGAGAGGAAUUCAAAGAAUAUUUUAUGACACCACAUGCAAAGGUUGAAUGGCAAGAUAGGUAUCAUUUGUGUUAUCAUCCUGCGCCAAUGUAUAUUAAUUAUGU